GCUGAUAUGGCUCAGUUGGUAGAGCGCACCCUUGGUAAGGGUGAGGUCUGGCGCUUAUACCCAUCUCCGCGCCC
RNAcentral lists this transfer RNA (74 nucleotides) under Escherichia coli. RNAcentral describes it as "tRNA-Thr". It matches the Rfam family "tRNA". Rfam says of the family: Transfer RNA (tRNA) molecules are approximately 80 nucleotides in length. Their secondary structure includes four short double-helical elements and three loops (D, anti-codon, and T loops). Lineage: Bacteria; Pseudomonadati; Pseudomonadota; Gammaproteobacteria; Enterobacterales; Enterobacteriaceae. The record is from RNAcentral.